RNAcentral lists this ribosomal RNA (630 nucleotides) under Chaetomium globosum. RNAcentral describes it as "eukaryotic LSU rRNA". The stretch from base 171 to 324 matches the Rfam family "5.8S ribosomal RNA". Lineage: Eukaryota; Fungi; Ascomycota; Sordariomycetes; Sordariales; Chaetomiaceae. The record is from RNAcentral.
GAAAAACUCCCCUAAACCAUUGUGAACGUUACCUAUACCGUUGCUUCGGCGGGCGGCACCCGGGGUUUACCCCCCGGGCGCCCCUGGGCCCCACCGCGGGCGCCCGCCGGAGGUCACCAAACUCUUGAUAAUUUAUGGCCUCUCUGAGUCUUCUGUACUGAAUAAGUCAAAACUUUCAACAACGGAUCUCUUGGUUCUGGCAUCGAUGAAGAACGCAGCGAAAUGCGAUAAGUAAUGUGAAUUGCAGAAUUCAGUGAAUCAUCGAAUCUUUGAACGCACAUUGCGCCCGCCAGCAUUCUGGCGGGCAUGCCUGUUCGAGCGUCAUUUCAACCAUCAAGCCCCCGGGCUUGUGUUGGGGACCUGCGGCUGCCGCAGGCCCUGAAAAGCAGUGGCGGGCUCGCUGUCGCACCGAGCGUAGUAGCAUACAUCUCGCUCUGGUCGCGCCGCGGGUUCCGGCCGUUAAACCACCUUUUAACCCAAGGUUGACCUCGGAUCAGGUAGGAAGACCCGCUGAACUUAAGCAUAUCAAUAGAGCGGAGGACGAGUUGCAAAACUCCCUAAACCAUUGUGAACGUUACUAUACGUUGCUCGCGGGGCGGCCCCGAGGUUUACCCCGGGCGCCCUGGGCCA